GACGAACGCUGGCGGCGUGCCUAAUACAUGCAAGUAGGACGCAGUUGCGCACGGGUGAGUAACGCGUAGGUAACUACCUAUUAGAGGGGGAUAACUAUUGGAAACGCUAGCUAAUACCGCAUACUAGUAGAUGGACCUGCGUUGUAUUAGCUAGUAGGUUGGGUAAUGGCCUACCUAGGCAACGAUACAUAGCCGGGCUGGAAAGGUGAUCCGGCACACUUGGACCUGUGAACGGCCCAUGAUCCUUCGGGGGGGAGGAGUAGGGAAACUUCGGCCAUGGGGGGAACCCUUACCGAACAACUCCGCGGGAGUGAAAGAGGUUUUCGGGUCGGAAAGCUCUGUUGUUAAGGGAGCGGUACUUAACCAGAAAGGAACGGCUAACUACGUGCCAGCAGCCGCGGUAAUUC
RNAcentral lists this ribosomal RNA (407 nucleotides) under uncultured bacterium. RNAcentral's name for it is "partial 16S ribosomal RNA". It matches the Rfam family "Bacterial small subunit ribosomal RNA", at positions 28 to 526 of the family's 1533-position model. The record is from RNAcentral.